Molecule: ribosomal RNA, 253 nt
Filed under: uncultured bacterium
Lineage: Bacteria
Description: partial 16S ribosomal RNA
Rfam family: Bacterial small subunit ribosomal RNA
Source: RNAcentral
UACGUAGGGUGCGAGCGUUGUCCGGAAUUAUUGGGCGUAAAGGGCUCGUAGGCGGUUUGUCGCGUCGGGAGUGAAAACACUGGGCUUAACUCAGUGCUUGCUUCCGAUACGGGCAGACUAGAGGUAUGCAGGGGAGAACGGAAUUCCUGGUGUAGCGGUGAAAUGCGCAGAUAUCAGGAGGAACACCGGUGGCGAAGGCGGUUCUCUGGGCAUGUCCUGACGCUGAGGAGCGAAAGUGUGGGGAGCGAACAGG